AUAGUAUAUCCUGUUGUUUUAUUUAUAUACAACUAACUUCAAACAAAGUUUUGCAUUCACUGCUUUCAUAUUCUCAUUCAAUUUACAGUUUGAUGUAGGCCUACUAAACAAUACAUGAUGAAAUUUCACGACAUUUUAUUUGACUUUUGUACUAUUUAUGUAAAUGCUUAACUUUGAUGUGUUUUAGGCCAUGUUGGCCAAUCAGAAGCCUGACAAAGUUUCAAGUAGGCGGAGAUAUUGGAUUUUCUCUUUAUGCACUUUUAUCACCGUAAACCUAAAAUGUCUGCUUUCUGACUUUUCCCCAUUUACUUCAUGGUCAACCCGGUUCUUGACGCGUACGGCCCGAUGAUUUCCGCGAUGCAGAAAACGCGGACGGAAUCUCGGAAUACGGAAUUACAGUUUAGCACGGAAUGUCACGGAGUUUGUCAAAGUUUGGAUGAAUUAAUCAAAAGUAGGUCAUUGCACUUAAAUCAAAUCGCGACGUGGACUAGUAUCUGUAAAUAUUAAGCUGCAAAAGUCGAUUCAAAUAUGAAUCCCGCAUGUUCUGCGAGUCUCUGUGUGUGUGAGUGAAUGAAUGGCAGAGACGCGCGGUUUUUUCUUUUUUUUACUACAUACACUGAAGCGCGCCUGAUGCUCGCGGUGAUUCAUCAUCUGCCGUCUCAAUGAGGACAUAAAUACAUAAACAACAUCUACAGAACUGCUCUGAGAGUCCCCUCGCGAGCAUUUUACCGUUUCAUUGAGGAAAAACCAGCGUCAUAUCAUAUAGCUACACAGAAAUGUAAAGCAUGUGGUACCGAAAUUGGUACCGAGAACCGUGGAUUUUGACUGGUAUCGGUACCGAAUACUGAAAUUUUGGUACCGUGACAACACUACAGGAAACAGAGCUGGAGCGGAGCAGAUCUCCUGUCGAAGAACAUCUCCAAAGCGCCAUGAACCAUCUGACUAGGCAGUUCGUGAAGACGAAUAACCUGGACAGAAGUCGGUUCCAGAUCCAGCCUCCACACCAGACUUCUCACUCACAAGGAUUGCUGUCUACUAGAUAUGUGUACUCUUCAGACUUAGGUUCAUGCAGAUAUUAUUCAGGGACAUGAACACUUGAAUACUGCAAAAAUAGAGAAACUACCUUAUUUAAGAAUUUUGUGUUAAUUGCGUGAACAUUAAACAAAUAUAUAUUUAUUUUACUGUUUUUUGUUUUGUAUU
Molecule: long non-coding RNA, 1200 nt
Organism: Onychostoma macrolepis
Lineage: Eukaryota; Metazoa; Chordata; Actinopteri; Cypriniformes; Cyprinidae
Exons: 4
Source: RefSeq, a predicted model, not a curated record